RNAcentral lists this ribosomal RNA (496 nucleotides) under uncultured bacterium. RNAcentral describes it as "bacterial SSU rRNA". It matches the Rfam family "Bacterial small subunit ribosomal RNA", at positions 24 to 507 of the family's 1533-position model. The record is from RNAcentral.
UCAGGAUGAACGCUAGCUACAGGCUUAACACAUGCAAGUCGAGGGGAAACGAUAUUGGAAGCUUGCUUCCGAUAGGCGUCGACCGGCGCACGGGUGAGUAACGCGUAUCCAACCUGCCCAUCACUUGGGGAUAACCUUGCGAAAGUAAGACUAAUACCCAAUGACGUCUCUAGAAGACAUCUGAAAGAGAUUAAAGAUUUAUCGGUGAUGGAUGGGGAUGCGUCUGAUUAGCUUGUUGGCGGGGUAACGGCCCACCAAGGCGACGAUCAGUAGGGGUUCUGAGAGGAAGGCCCCCCACAUUGGAACUGAGACACGGUCCAAACUCCUACGGGAGGCAGCAGUGAGGAAUAUUGGUCAAUGGACGAGAGUCUGAACCAGCCAAGUAGCGUGCAGGAUGACGGCCCUAUGGGUUGUAAACUGCUUUUAUAAGGGAAUAAAGUGAGUCUCGUGAGACUUUUUGCAUGUACCUUAUGAAUAAGGACCGGCUAAUUCCGUG